Molecule: unclassified non-coding RNA, 2530 nt
Filed under: Hevea brasiliensis (rubber tree)
Lineage: Eukaryota; Viridiplantae; Streptophyta; Magnoliopsida; Malpighiales; Euphorbiaceae
Source: RNAcentral
AUUCCUCUUCUUACUCCUCCAAUUUCUCUCAGCCUUCUUCUCUCUUUCCUUGUCUUUCUCUCUCCCUCUCUCUCUGUCUCCAGAAUUUACAUUCCUUAUCUGGGUUUGCUUCAUCUUGACCUGAAUUGGAUUCAAAUUGUUUUGGCAUGGCUACAUAUAAGCCAAAGAACAUCCUCAUUACUGGGGCUGCUGGCUUUAUCGCAUCCCAUGUUUGCAACCGGCUCAUCCGUAACUACUCUGAUUACAAAAUUGUUGUCCUUGACAAGCUUGAUUAUUGUUCAAACCUGAAAAACCUCCUCCCUUCUAAAUCAUGCCCCAACUUUAAGUUUGUCAAGGGUGACAUUGGCAGUGCUGACCUUGUCAACUUCCUUCUCAUCACCGAAUCCAUUGACACAAUUAUGCACUUUGCUGCUCAGACACAUGUGGACAACUCCUUUGGUAACAGCUUUGAGUUUACCAAGAAUAAUAUCUAUGGUACCCAUGUACUUUUAGAAGCCUGCAAAGUCACUGGCCAGAUUAGGAGAUUCAUCCAUGUGAGCACAGAUGAAGUUUAUGGGGAGACAGAUGAGGAUGCUGUUGUAGGAAACCAUGAAGCUUCUCAACUCCUCCCAACAAAUCCAUACUCUGCAACAAAAGCUGGUGCAGAAAUGCUUGUUAUGGCGUAUGGUAGGUCCUAUGGGUUACCUGUCAUAACAACCCGUGGAAACAAUGUUUAUGGUCCCAAUCAGUUCCCUGAGAAAUUAAUUCCAAAGUUUAUCCUCUUGGCUAUGCAAGGGAAGCCUCUCCCAAUCCAUGGGGAUGGUUCUAACGUUAGGAGUUAUUUAUAUUGUGAGGAUGUUGCUGAGGCUUUUGAAGUCAUCCUUCACAAGGGAGAGGUGGGCCACGUUUACAAUAUUGGGACAAAGAAGGAAAGAAGAGUGAUAGAUGUGGCUAAAGAUAUAUGCAAGCUUUUCUCAAUGGACCCUGAGACAAACAUUAAGUUUGUAGAUAACAGGCCAUUCAAUGACCAGAGGUACUUUCUUGAUGAUCAGAAGCUGAAGAUCUUAGGAUGGUCAGAACGAACAAUUUGGGAGGAGGGCUUGAAGAAGACUAUGGAGUGGUACAUUCAGAAUCCUGAUUGGUGGGGUGAUGUAACUGGGGCGUUGCUUCCUCAUCCAAGAAUGCUGAUGAUGCCUGGUGGGAGACACUUCGAUGGUUCUGAAGAGAACAAAUCUGCAUCUUAUGCUUCAAAUAAUUCUAAUCAGACCCGAAUGGUCAUCCCAGUUUCUAGAACCAGCGGCAGUGGCUCCCCUCCAAAAUCCUCUCUUAAGUUCUUGAUCUAUGGCAGGACUGGAUGGAUCGGGGGUCUACUUGGGAAGUUGUGUGAGAAACAAGGGAUUCCCUAUGAAUAUGGAAGGGGACGCUUGGAAGAUCGAUCAUCGCUUUUGUCAGAUAUUCAGAAUGUUAGGCCAACCCAUGUUUUUAAUGCUGCUGGGGUUACUGGUAGACCUAAUGUUGAUUGGUGCGAAUCUCACAAGACAGAAACAAUUCGCACCAAUGUGGCUGGAACCUUAACAUUAGCAGAUGUUUGCAGAGAGCAUAACAUCCUGAUGGUGAAUUAUGCUACUGGCUGUAUAUUUGAGUAUGAUGCUACUCAUCCAGAGCAUUCUGGCAUUGGGUUUACUGAGGAAGACAAACCCAAUUUCACUGGUUCUUUUUAUUCAAAGACCAAGGCUAUGGUGGAGGAGCUCUUGAAAGAAUAUGACAAUGUAUGCACCCUCAGAGUUAGAAUGCCAAUAUCAUCAGAUCUAAACAACCCACGAAACUUUAUUACUAAGAUUUCUCGAUAUAACAAAGUGGUCAAUAUUCCAAACAGCAUGACUGUCUUGGAUGAACUUCUACCUAUUUCAAUUGAGAUGGCUAAGCGGAACUUGAGGGGUACAUGGAACUUCACAAACCCUGGUGUGGUGAGCCAUAAUGAGAUUUUGGAGAUGUACAAGAGUUACAUUAACCCCAACUUUACAUGGGUUAACUUCACACUGGAGGAGCAAGCUAAGGUGAUAGUGGCACCAAGAAGCAACAACGAGAUGGACGCAUCCAAGUUGAAAAAAGAGUUUCCGGAAUUGCUGUCAAUCAAGGAGUCUCUGGUCAAGUACGUUUUUGAACCAAAUAAGAAAGUUUGAAAUAAAGCGGCAUUUAUGGAUCCUACGUUGUAUGGCAAGUGAGUAUUGCUAGUGUUUCAAUUCUAUUAGUUAUUCACUGUUAGGUUUUCUGAUUGUUUCUACCAAUGAUAGAAAGUGAAGUAUUAGGCAUGCUUCUGUGAUUUCUUUACCUGAGUUGUAUUUUAGUGUCCUUGCAGUGUUCCUUCUCAGCAGUAGACUUUGAGUAGGUUCUUGAUAUGUGUCUCGAGUCCUACAAUUUAUUAGAUAUGUGGUUUAUUGUUUAAAUUCUUUGUUACUUAGCUUAGUUAACUUGUCUUGUUGUCCGUUGGAGUUGAAGGAAACAUUGAAUUCUUUAUCUUCCAAUUAUUGAAUUCCAAGUUUGUGCUUGG